UGGGGAAUAUUGGGCAAUGGGCGAAAGCCUGACGGAGCAACGCCGCGUGAGUGAAGAAGGCCUUCGGGUCGUAAAGCUCUGUCUUUAGGGACGAACAACUGUAGUGUGAAUAAUGCUACAGCCUGACGGUACCUAAGGAGGAAGCUCCGGCUAACUACGUGCCAGCAGCCGCGGUAAUACGUAGGGAGCGAGCGUUGUCCGGAAUUACUGGGCGUAAAGGGCGCGUAGGCGGGAAUUUAAGUAAGGUGUGAAAACUUCGGGCUCAACCCGGAGACUGCACUUUAAACUGGAUUUCUUGAGGGCAGGAGAGGAAAGUGGAAUUCCUAGUGUAGCGGUGAAAUGCGUAGAUAUUAGGAGGAACACCAGUGGCGAAGGCGACUUUCUGGACUGUACCUGACGCUGAGGCGCGAAAGCGUGGGGAGCGAACAGG
Molecule: ribosomal RNA, 430 nt
Filed under: uncultured prokaryote
Also listed under: 1 other name
Description: bacterial SSU rRNA
Rfam family: Bacterial small subunit ribosomal RNA
Source: RNAcentral